AAUUGGAAAGACUUCUUUUUCUUGUACACAAUGGGCACCUUCAAAAACUGCCAAUGUGUGGAAGGAUAUGGAUAAGAUUUUCAGUUGAAAUUCAAACUAAUUUGAAUUCAAAUCAAAAUCAACCAAUUUCUAUCCUUAAUGGAUGACAAAAGAAGGAUUACUUUCUAGUUUUUUCAUCCACAAACUAAUUUUAUACAGUGAGAAAAUGUAUGAGACAAUUUGGGUGGCGCA
This 231-nucleotide long non-coding RNA is filed under the name Elaeis guineensis (African oil palm). RNAcentral describes it as "long non-coding RNA (EGUI_LNC057789)". Lineage: Eukaryota; Viridiplantae; Streptophyta; Magnoliopsida; Arecales; Arecaceae. The record is from RNAcentral.